Long non-coding RNA from Drosophila miranda, 595 nucleotides. RefSeq lists it as uncharacterized. The record is from RefSeq and is a predicted model, not a curated record. Lineage: Eukaryota; Metazoa; Arthropoda; Insecta; Diptera; Drosophilidae. The transcript has 2 exons.
UCAACUCUGAACUCAUAAUUUCAUUCGAUUAUUUCAAUUUCCUAAAUUUUAGUUGUCACCUUUUUCCACAGGGAUCUAAAAUCAGGCGGAAAUUAUAUAUUUUUUCCUACAAAAUUGUUUGUUCCACUUAACGAAAUUUCGUCUUCAUUUAAUUACGGGAUGCAGUGUCUCCGUGCCGAACGGAUCAGAGCCUCUUGGUGUUCUUUCUAAAGCGAAUAAAGUGCAUUCCUGUAAGAUGGUUUCCGAGUGUAUUGCGGAUGUGGAGAAAGUCGGCCUGAAGGCAAACAGAUAUUUCCAGGCACCGACCCCUGAGCCACCGGUCGUCGUCGUCUGGACUUCCCACUGCGCCCACUGGGUGGGGGUCCUACAGCUGCUGCUGCCAGUCGUAUUUGCCGGGAGUCGACCAUUUGUUCCUUGUAGCCUUGGAAGGACUUUCUUUGGCUGCCAGCAUGGCCUUGCGCUGGCUCUCCUUGGUCCUGGCCAUCCACCUCUCUCUCUGAUCGGAAAAGCUUUCCUUAAGGGAAACUGCAAGAGAAGGAGGAUAUACCAUUGCCAUUCUGAGCAGAAAAAAGUACACGAAAGUCUCACCUGUCUU